Molecule: ribosomal RNA, 253 nt
Filed under: uncultured bacterium
Lineage: Bacteria
Description: partial 16S ribosomal RNA
Rfam family: Bacterial small subunit ribosomal RNA
Source: RNAcentral
GACGAACCGAGCGAACGUUAUUCGGAAUCACUGGGCUUAAAGGGUGCGUAGGCGGGCACGCGAGUCAGGGGUGAAAUCCCACGGCCCAACCGUGGAAGUGCCUCUGAUACCGCGGGCCUCGAGGGGGAUAGGGGCGUGCGGAACUUCCGGUGGAGCGGUGAAAUGCGUAGAUAUCCGGAGGAACACCGACGGCGUAGGCAGCGCCCUGGACGACACCUGACGCUGAGGCACGAAAGCUGGGGGAGCGAACAGG